GAAAGCUAAAGUUUCAAACCCACCAGGUUUUUAAGUAGAUAAUAAUUUGUUCCACCUGGAUGACUUGUUAACUCAUUAUUGCAGAAAAUCUGCUAAUUAAUGAGAUCAAUAAUUAAUUAAUUAAUUAAUCAGCAUACAAGCUGAUGUUAUAUCCCAUAAAACUAAAAUUUCAACGUUUAUCUCUUAUGAUUCAUUGAUCGCCACUGAAUGAAGACCUAUUAACACAGAGAUAUAUAAUACCCAGUAUAAAGAGGACAGAAAAAGCAAAGUGGUCCAAAUAUAUUAGUGGCCCUACUAUAUUUUAAUACAUAUUCAUUAAACAGUAGUCAAACAACACCUGGAUGAUUUACAUCUCCACAGAUUCUAAUAUGUAAAACCAGCGGAAACUUUAAUUCAAUGAGCAUCCAGGCUUUCUAUUAAAUAUUCAGAGUUUUUGUUACUCAAAGAACAACACUGUCAUGUCAAAUGUAGUACAUUUAAGAAUGUACAGUAUAUUUAUGUUACAUUGGCAAAAAAAAAAAUAUGAAAAUGUUCUGCUCCACUUUAUAUAUGAGAAAUAUUUUUGGGUGCAUGUUUAUGAAACAUGAAAAAAAAAAAAAAAGGAGAAAUCCGCACACCAGUUCAAGGUCCAUUAAAAACUACUUCACUGUGACAACAAAAUACCAAAGUACACUAACAAAAAUGUAAUUUUGCGCAAACCAAGUUGCUUCAGUAUAACUUCCAAAAUACAAUGACAAAUGACAAAAACAACAUAUAAAAUUACAUACAUAUCAAUAACACCUCAAAAUAGUAUGAAGGAAUUGUUCAAAACAGAAAGGACACUUUUGAGCAGUAACACCUGUCUGAAAAAAGCAUACACUUAAAACUUAACACUUAUUCAGAUUCCUUUUAAUCCUGUAUGUCUGUCAAAACUGUAUUUCUAAACUGAAAAUCAAGUGGUAAACAGAGUGAACAAAAAUCCAUCAAUGCAUAAGUUUAAACUGGUGAUGUUAAUGAUUGUAAACAAUCACAAUUGUUUGUUAAUGGGAAGCCCAGGUGAUGCAAAUCUGUGCCAAUGCUCAUCUUUAAAAUGCCUGGUUAGAUUGGCAAACUGAAUGGUUGAACCUGUGGUCAAAAUGGUUUAUUUACUUAUUAUUUUGUUGUAUCUAUAUCAUCCAUAUAGUGAAGUGUUCUGUUCCCCAAUUGAACGUGACUUGCACAUGUCUGACUGGAGCGAUGCUGGGCAUGUACUGCAAGAAAACAAAGGACAGCCUGAACAUGAUGACAACAAAGACCAUUUUGAGAAGUCUAAUUCUAAAAUGGAGAAACCAAAUUUUAGGUCAUCUGAGGAGUCUACUUUUAAACCUGAGAAUUUAAAUGUUUUUGUGGAACCCAGUUUUUCCCUUCAAUCUGAGAAGUUAAGUCCUCUAUCCAGUUCUAAGUCAAGUUCUCCUUUCCCUGAGAAAUCAAGCAUUUACUUCUCAAAGACCAGUUCUAAACCUGAGAAACCUAGUGUUCCUAUGGAACCCAGUUUUAAACCUGAGAAAC
This is a long non-coding RNA of Ctenopharyngodon idella (grass carp), 1527 nucleotides long. RefSeq lists it as uncharacterized. The transcript has 3 exons. The record is from RefSeq and is a predicted model, not a curated record. Lineage: Eukaryota; Metazoa; Chordata; Actinopteri; Cypriniformes; Xenocyprididae.